AUUUAAAUAGCUUAUAAUUAGAGUGUUACACUGAAGAUGUAGGGGAGAUAAUUUUAUCUUUAAAUA
RNAcentral lists this transfer RNA (66 nucleotides) under Paraliodrosophila antennata. RNAcentral describes it as "tRNA-Phe". It matches the Rfam family "tRNA". From Rfam's summary of the family: Transfer RNA (tRNA) molecules are approximately 80 nucleotides in length. Their secondary structure includes four short double-helical elements and three loops (D, anti-codon, and T loops). The record is from RNAcentral. Lineage: Eukaryota; Metazoa; Arthropoda; Insecta; Diptera; Drosophilidae.